RNAcentral lists this ribosomal RNA (468 nucleotides) under uncultured bacterium. RNAcentral's name for it is "partial 16S ribosomal RNA". It matches the Rfam family "Bacterial small subunit ribosomal RNA", at positions 28 to 507 of the family's 1533-position model. The record is from RNAcentral.
GACGAACGCUGGCGGCGUGCUUAACACAUGCAAGUCGAACGGAAAGGCCCUGCUUUUGUGGGGUGCUCGAGUGGCGAACGGGUGAGUAACACGUGAGUAACCUGCCCUUGACUUUGGGAUAACUUCGGGAAACUGGGGCUAAUACCGGAUUGGAGCUCCUGCUGCAUGGUGGGGGUUGGAAAGUUUCGGCGGUUGGGGAUGGACUCGCGGCUUAUCAGCUUGUUGGUGGGGUAGUGGCUUACCAAGGCUUUGACGGGUAGCCGGCCUGAGAGGGUGACCGGCCACAUUGGGACUGAGAUACGGCCCAGACUCCUACGGGAGGCAGCAGUGGGGAAUAUUGCACAAUGGGCGGAAGCCUGAUGCAGCAACGCCGCGUGCGGGAUGACGGCCUUCGGGUUGUAAACCGCUUUCGCCUGUGACGAAGCGUGAGUGACGGUAAUGGGUAAAGAAGCACCGGCUAACUACGUG